This 700-nucleotide ribosomal RNA is filed under the name Acinetobacter radioresistens. RNAcentral's name for it is "bacterial SSU rRNA". It matches the Rfam family "Bacterial small subunit ribosomal RNA", at positions 297 to 988 of the family's 1533-position model. The record is from RNAcentral. Lineage: Bacteria; Pseudomonadati; Pseudomonadota; Gammaproteobacteria; Moraxellales; Moraxellaceae.
AGGAUGAUCCGCCACACUGGGACUGAGACACGGCCCAGACUCCUACGGGAGGCAGCAGUGGGGAAUAUUGGACAAUGGGGGGAACCCUGAUCCAGCCAUGCCGCGUGUGUGAAGAAGGCCUUUUGGUUGUAAAGCACUUUAAGCGAGGAGGAGGCUACCUAGAUUAAUACUUUAGGAUAGUGGACGUUACUCGCAGAAUAAGCACCGGCUAACUCUGUGCCAGCAGCCGCGGUAAUACAGAGGGUGCGAGCGUUAAUCGGAUUUACUGGGCGUAAAGCGUGCGUAGGCGGCCAAUUAAGUCAAAUGUGAAAUCCCCGAGCUUAACUUGGGAAUUGCAUUCGAUACUGGUUGGCUAGAGUAUGGGAGAGGAUGGUAGAAUUCCAGGUGUAGCGGUGAAAUGCGUAGAGAUCUGGAGGAAUACCGAUGGCGAAGGCAGCCAUCUGGCCUAAUACUGACGCUGAGGUACGAAAGCAUGGGGAGCAAACAGGAUUAGAUACCCUGGUAGUCCAUGCCGUAAACGAUGUCUACUAGCCGUUGGGGCCCUUGAGGCUUUAGUGGCGCAGCUAACGCGAUAAGUAGACCGCCUGGGGAGUACGGUCGCAAGACUAAAACUCAAAUGAAUUGACGGGGGCCCGCACAAGCGGUGGAGCAUGUGGUUUAAUUCGAUGCAACGCGAAGAACCUUACCUGGCCUUGACAUA